This 447-nucleotide ribosomal RNA is filed under the name uncultured bacterium. RNAcentral's name for it is "bacterial SSU rRNA". It matches the Rfam family "Bacterial small subunit ribosomal RNA", at positions 355 to 825 of the family's 1533-position model. The record is from RNAcentral.
UGGGGAAUUUUGGGCAAUGGGCGAAAGCCUGACCCAGCAACGCCGCGUGAAGGAUGAAGUAUUUCGGUAUGUAAACUUCGUAAGAAUAGGAAGAAUAAAUGACGGUACUAUUUGUAAGGUCCGGCUAACUACGUGCCAGCAGCCGCGGUAAUACGUAGGGACCAAGCGUUGUUCGGAUUUACUGGGCGUAAAGGGCGCGUAGGCGGUGUGUCAAGUCAGUUGUGAAAUCUCCGAGCUUAACUCGGAACGGUCAACUGAUACUGUCACACUAGAGUACAGAAGGGGCAAUCGGAAUUCUUGGUGUAGCGGUGAAAUGCGUAGAUAUCAAGAGGAACACCUGAGGCGAAGGCGGGUUGCUGGGCUGAUACUGACGCUGAGGCGCGAAAGCUAGGGUAGCAAACGGGAUUAGAUACCCAGGUAGUCCCUGAGCGGGCUGGCAAGGCGCAU